This 1019-nucleotide long non-coding RNA is filed under the name Piliocolobus tephrosceles (Ugandan red Colobus). Its description in RNAcentral is "lncRNA (ENSPTEG00000016777.1)". The record is from RNAcentral. Lineage: Eukaryota; Metazoa; Chordata; Mammalia; Primates; Cercopithecidae.
UACUAGCGAUGAUAGUUUUUUUUUUGUACAAAUAAAAGAAAAAAUAUAUAUAUAUAACACAGAUACUUUAAUUAAAAAUACAGACGAAAAUAUACAUAAUUUAACACACACGGACGUACCUUAUAACUUUGUGUAUAUGUGGCACCAACCCAAUGUUGUUUCUAUUUUUAUAUCUUCAUUUAUUGAUAUUGAAAAUGACAGUUGUCUUUAUUUUGUUGUUUACGCAAAAAAUAAUUUCGUGGGUGAGAUAUAUAUAUAUAAAAUUGAUGGUCUUUUCCCCUUUACUCACUCCAUGUCUUACGUAUUAAAUACUAGCAAUACCGAAAGCUUAGCUAAAAUAUCUACAACGAUAAAAAUAAACAAUCAAUUACCUCAAAUUAGAACAACAUGUCUUUUUAAAACAGUUUUUCAGCAUUUGGAUAAUUUGAGUUGUUUAUUAUCACAUAGUGGAAAAUAUAUUCUUUUUUUAGUAUAUACAAUAGAUACAGGUAAAGAAUCCUAUGGGAAUAUUAGCAAUUGUUAUUUUAUUUCAUUAACAAAAAAAAAAAUUAUUAUGAAAAAGGUAAAUCAACAAAUUGCACAAGAUAUUAUGUGGUGCCAUACAGAAGACGAGUUUAUAAUUAUAGAAGGAAAAUCUGAUAAUAUAAUUUUUUUUUAUGACUGUGAAUUAAAUGUUAAAUUAAAAUUUACAUCGCAAUAUAAAAAUACCGUUAAGUGGUGCUCUCACAAUAAUAUGCUUGCGAUAGGUGGUUUUGGUAAUUUAGCUGGAGAUGUUGCAUUUUAUUACAAAGAAAAAAAUAAUUCUAUUAUCCCUAUCAAACAAUACAGAGAAUCAUGUACCGUCUUAUGUGAAUGGUCUGCAGAUGGUUCACUAUUUAUGAUGGCUUCUACAUUUCCUAGAAUGAAGGUUGAUAAUAGAUUAAAAAUUUUUACAUGUGAAGGUGAGCUAGUUACUACCGUUACUUAUAAUGAAUUAUAUGAUGUCAAAUGGUCUACCUUUUCCCCUUUAUACAUUCAAA